RNAcentral lists this ribosomal RNA (424 nucleotides) under uncultured bacterium. Its description in RNAcentral is "partial 16S ribosomal RNA". It matches the Rfam family "Bacterial small subunit ribosomal RNA", at positions 360 to 776 of the family's 1533-position model. The record is from RNAcentral.
AAUAUUGGACUAUGGGGUUAACGCUGAUCCAGCCUUGCCGCGUGUGUGAAGUAGGUCUUCGGCUUGUCAAGCACUUUAAGUUGGGAGGCAGAGUUGUAGGCUAAUCCCUUGCCAUUUUGACGUUACCGACAGAAUAAGCGCCGGCGAACUUCGUUCCAGCAGCCGCGGUAAUACGAAAGGUGCAAGCGUUAAUCGGAAGUCCUGGGCUUAAAGCGCGCGUAGGUGGUUCGUUAAGUUGGAAGUGAAAGCCCCGGGCUUAACCUGGGAAUUGCUUUAAAAACUGACGAGCUAGAGUACGGUAGAGGGUAGUGGAAUUUCCUGUGUAGCGGUGAAAUGCGUAGAUAUAGGAAGGAACAUCAGUGGCGAAGGCGACUACCUGGACUGAUACUGACACAGAGGUGCGAAAGCGUGGGGAGCAAACAGG